Molecule: ribosomal RNA, 460 nt
Filed under: uncultured bacterium
Lineage: Bacteria
Description: partial 16S ribosomal RNA
Rfam family: Bacterial small subunit ribosomal RNA
Source: RNAcentral
CCUACGGGUGGCAGCAGUGAGGAAUAUUGGUCAAUGGACGCAAGUCUGAACCAGCCAUGCCGCGUGAAGGAAGACGGCUCUAUGAGUUGUAAACUGCUUUUGUACGAGGGUAAACGCAGGUACGCGUAUCUGUCUGAAAGUAUCGUACGAAUAAGGAUCGGCUAACUCCGUGCCAGCAGCCGCGGUAAUACGGAGGAUUCGAGCGUUAUCCGGAUUUAUUGGGUUUAAAGGGUUCGUAGGCGGUCGGAUAAGUUAGAGGUGAAAUCCCGAGGCUCAACUUCGGAAGUGCCGCUGAUACUGUUCGGCUAGAGAGUACUUGCGGUAGGCGGAAUGUGUGGUGUAGCGGUGAAAUGCAUAGAGAUCAUACAGAACACCGAUUGCGAAGGCAGCUUACCAGGCCACUUCUGACGUUGAGGCACGAAAGCGUGGGGAUCAAACAGGAUUAGAUACCCUUGUAGUC